UUUGUGCGCGCGCACACACGCACAUAUACACACACACACACACCUGUGCUGCCUCGCGGCCAUUUUCGGCACACCCACGUACUUGGUGAUGGGUCUGUCUCUACCCGUUCGUCCUCCCCAUCCGUACACGUGCGUGCAUGCAUGGGUGCCAAAGCCCUCACCGUUUGGUCUCUCCGACUCGCGCCUCACAUUCUCAGCCCCCUCCCCCCUCUUCCCGACUUUCCCCUUCUCUCUCUCCUCGUCUUCCCUGCCGCACUCUCGCUGGCAGGAGAAGGUGCACAGCAGCAGCAGCAGAGGACUUGACGGGGCGCUUAUUCGUUGGCUUCGUGUUGGCCACGCGGCUGCGGCUCUCUCACGCAGAGCCUGCUUGGCGUGUGUCCGUCUGUGUGUGUGUGUGUGCGGCCCCUCCUCUCUAGGCACGCGCACUCUCCCACGCAUGCGCACGCGCACACGCACAUGCAUCUGCACAUAGGCAUGCACGUAUAGAGAGAGGGACAUCUUCACAUCUAUACACACGUCUGCAGACCCCUACAGGACACCACGCAGUCGAACCCGACGGUGAGCCAUGAAGGUCCAGCACUUGACCGUGGAGACCCUUGACGGUAAUGGUGAGAGGGGAGCCUCGGCACCAGCAAUACAGAUACUGGUUCCGCCGCUCUUUAAGGGUGACGCCGCUGUCUUGAGGGCUGCCGCUGUUGCCAAUCACGACGGCGGCGCCGUUACGAGGGCCUCAUACUUGUCCAUUUCGUCCUCCGUCAACAGUUCACAGUGUAGUUUCUUCGGCGGCAGCAGCUCUGCCGUCUCGCCGCUGGCCUCGACAAGCGUGUCACAGGCCAAUGUCGACACCCCCAGCAGCACAUACGAGGCGGCUGUCUGUGCGGAGCUGCAGCGGCUGCUGGAGCGCUGCGAGCAGUCUUGGAUGCACACAAUGCAUAUUCCGCGUGUUAUUCUGCGCAGCGUCGCUCUGGAUCAGAACUGCGCCAUCGCCGCGACGUGCGCCAUGCUCAUCAUCUCCUGCAUCCUCUAUCCGAUGACGCAGACGAUCCUGUGCACGAUAUUGUUCUUUGCCCUCUACGGCCUCUGCGUGCUGCUGCAGGCAUACCACUUUUGGGCUCGCGUGACGGAGAUGAAGUACCGCACCGCCUCUGUGACCAGGGAGGUGCUGGCACGAUGGUGGCGCCGGGUCCAGGAGAUGCCGCUGCGUCGCAGCCAGACCGCCGAGGAGCGGCGGCGCGUGUUUAUCGAGUCCUUCUCGCAGUUACCGGCUAGCGCGUUCCGCAUGGUGGCCGUCGUCGACGAGCGCACAGGCAGACUGAAGCACAUCCACAAGAGCUUAAUGGUGAAGAUGUCCAAGCGGCUAGACGAGUCGACGCUGAAGGUGCGCUCUUACCUGGAGCCGACGAGCAUCUGCAAGCUCGUCGACGUCAUGCGCAUCACCCUCGAGUGUGAUGCGAUUGUGCUGAAGCCGCUGACAGAUCGCGCCCGACCACCGCGGCUGCCGAACCUGCUCCUAUCCGACAAGCCCUUUGUGGAGGACGAGGACACAACGGACAGCAGCGACCACGAGCGCGAGUCGCGCACGGUGCUGGGCGGCGGCAACACGAUCACCGUGUCGCACCACAUGGAGUACUUUGUCCACCGCGUCUUUCUGCUCGUCUGGGCAGCAGUGAUGGUGCUGACCAUCGGCACCGGCGUCAUGCUCUGCAAGUUUGUACGAUUACCCCUCGGCGAGGGCGUCUUCCUGGACCCUGCCGUUGCGGCGCUGGGUCUGCUACCCCUCAACGCCAUCGUGCUCAACCGCGUGCUCAUCUUCUACGCCAAUGUCUACCUCGACAAGCUUUUCCACUACAUGGUGUCACGCCGCUCCUACGCGCUGGAGGAUCGGCUGCCACGCUUCUCCUUCUGGUCUACGCUGGUGACGAUGGCGCGGGUGGUGUGCCGCAUGCCGCCGCCGAACGGGGGCCGUAACCCACUUGUCUUCUCCACUUCUCUUGUCGACGUCUUCGGCAUGGCAACGGUGGUGGCGAUGCUGGAUCAGACGGGGAUUGUGACGGAUAUGGUGCUCGUCCCUAAGCAGGUGUUCCUGCUAAAGUCCGACCCACAGCAGCAGCAUCAGCAUCAGCAGAGUUCUUCCAGCGGAGAAAGCGGCGACGAUGACGAUGGUACGACGACUGUGAAGGGCUGCUUCUCGCAGCGCAGCGAGCGCGACGCUCGUGAGCGCCGCCGCGACAUGCACAAGCAAAUCAAGCGCAAGAAGUAUCAGGAGCGCCGGUUUCUGGAGCUGCGGCUGAUGCAGUCGACAAGGCAGGACCUGGCGGUCGAGUUCGCCGACGAGAAGGCUCGCCACAAGCACAACAGCCACCUCAAACCUCUCUGCCUCGCCAUCCUUGUGCACGCCCUGGCACGAGAGCCGACGCAGCUCGCGACGUGGACGGAGCCGUUCCGCUUCUGCGACCGCUCACUUCUGUGGGCGCGUGCAAUGCACUGGAUCCCGCGGGCGUGUGGCUUCCACGACAGAGUGGCACACAACUUCCUGAUCCUUGCGCGCAUCUUCGUGAUCAGCACGUCCACCGGGAGCGGGUACCGCGACACCUACCCGGAGCAGGCGUGCUCGUACCUCGUCGAGGGCAGCGAUGGCGCGCUGCACCUCUUCACCAUCGGUACGCCGUAUCUCGUGUGCCACCACUCGACAACACACUGGACAGGAACGACGAUAGAGGAGUUUGACGCCCACGAUAAGGCGGAGGUGCUUUACAUGGGUAAGCACCAAUGGGAGGAGGGGGCGACACUAGAGACGGUGGCGCUGUCGCACCGCAUUUUGCCGGAGCGGUACCGCCGCUACGUCGCAACGCUACCGCGCCACGCGCACCACUACAACGAGUUUUUCUUUCGAAACGGCGCCGAGGUGAACAGCACUACAGCGAAGAAGGCGCAGGUGGAGCGGCGGCAUCGCCGCCAGCAGCGCGCGGCGGCGAAAGCGGCUCGUAGUGGAGUCGCUGCGCCGCACCCGCAAGCCGCACCGCAGUCCGCCGAUUCAAGGCAGGAACCGCGCGGGGAGAGCGGGACCAGCAGGUGCCGCGUCAUGCGACACGACGGUGGUGGCGCUGAUACCGACGACGGAGCUCCCAUACCGUCGGCGGCCAUGCAGCGCGAGCGCACCGAGGCGGCUGUGCGCGCAGGUGACAGGGAGAUGGGCGCGGAGAAGGAAGUGGGUGCGGUGGGUGUCAGCGAUGACAGCACCAUGAGCUCCUACGACGCCGACAAGUGGGGCGGGGAUAGAGACAUCGCGGUUGACGAGCGCGACAUCAGCGGCCGCGACAUAGAUCGGCAGCGCCAGCUGUGCGGCACGCCCCGGCGCCGCUGCCGGUCCGCACCGCCGGUGCGCAGCACGCGGCCGGCGAACGUGCAGCCGCCGCGCAACCGCUCCUUUGGCGCCGCCCCGACGGACGUCGUGGCCGACAUCGAGGGGGAUGACUGCAUCACUGUGAACACCUUCAUCUGGCUCAUGGCGACCACCUCUCACACGUUCCUUGGGCUGAUCGGUUUGCAGGACUCCGUGCGCCCCAACGUGCAGAGCACCAUGAGCUUGCUGGAUGAGUCGGGUGUGCGCUGCAUGUAUUUCUACGCUGGCACGGAGCGCCAGACGAAGAGCUUCGGGAGCCGGGUCGGCUUGGACACGGACUGGAACUGCUGCAUCUCGCUGAAGGAGGACGCCGUCGCGCUGGACCCGCACAGCAUUCGCGCGCAGCUGCCGUUCGGCAUCAAGUCGAUCCGCAAGCACAUCCUGCAUGUCGACCCGAUUCCGCUUCAGGUGAGCCUGUUCUCGCACGCCCUCGGAGUGUCGAAGCGGGCGAUGCUGUCGGUGCUGCAGGACAACCACGAAGUCGUCGUCGCGGUCGGCUCGGUGUUCAACCAUAGCAACGUGCGCAGCUUCGUGCAGGCGGACUUGUCGAUCGGCGUGCUCCCUACCAGACGCGGCACCAACGCGGAUAAGGAGGGCGCGCUGAAACACACCCGCGUCGUGGAGCCGUCCGACUUCGCGGCGGCGAACAGCCUCAACCGCGAUAUCCCGCUCUACCGCAACGUGGCGGAGCUGAUCGGUUGCAGCUGUUCCCUGCGGGCGCCGCCAACGACGUCCAUCUUGCCGAUUGUCGCCAUGAUGAUUCGUCAGGCACGCCUGCGGCUCAGCGGCAUCAGUAACGGCGCCGAGUUCGUCAUGCACGCCAACUUCUUCCUUGUCAUGGUGAAUACCAGCUCGCUGAUCGUCGGGGUGCCACUGCUGCUGACGCCCUCUGUGACGGUGUUUGAGCUCUACGUGCUCAUCCCGAUUUUGGCGCUGUGCUGCACUUACACGGCGUACGCCGGCAUGGAUGCGAUGCGAGUGAUGCCGUCGCGCCACAAUCACUUCGUCCGCCGCGCAAUCUUCCGGCACAGCGCGGUGGUGUGGUGCCUGCGCUACGCCAUCUCGGUUGUGGCGCUCCUGGCGCUCGGCAUCACUGCCUCCACGAAGCUGUGCAAGGUCAGAGUGCUGAAGCUAAUCACAAUGGAGGAGGCCACGUGCAUGUCGUCUGGUCAGGGCUACGUCGCGCUCACCUUCAACUACUGGCUCAUGGUGCACUGCUGGACGCACAUUAGUCGUCAUCACCCCAUCUCCCUCACCUUCUCGCUGAAGCUGGAGCAUGGACGCCGCUCCACGUACCUUUUCCGUUCCUUCCGCUGGGUCGCCGCGAGCUUCCUCGUGACGCUACUGAGCAUCAUCAUCGUAGUCCUCGACACACCGAAGGCCGCCCUCCACCACGCCUUCUUCCCUUCUGUCCCGCACUUCAUUGUGUCGCUGCUGUUCCCGGUGCUCAUCCUCGCACUGGACUGGCCCGUCAAGCGGUGGCGCGAGCGGCGUUUCACGAACAUGCAGAAAUUUCGGAAGCUGUCGUAUGGGACGCGGCUUGGCAUGCACUCGCCCCGCGGCGACUACGAACCGGAAGGCAUCACCUACACACACACCAGCACCGUCGGCGGCGCUGGUCGAGAGGAGGCGGCGCCGGCGGAGCGCGUCGGACUCCUCAAGCGCGUGAGCGAGUGGUUUUACCGCUUCAGCAGCAUGCGUGGCGGGAAGCUGGAGCUGAACUGCGUGUGCUGCGACCACAUCGGCGGCAACUACGCUACCUAUCACACCACGGCUAACGUAUAAGAUUGCGGUUGGUGCGCACCGCGUGCGACGUUGUGUGCGUGCGCGCAUGCGAUCUGCUCAGGGAUGUGCGUGCGUGCGCACAAUUGGGUAUCGCUUCCGAGUAGAGGGGCGGCGUCUUCCAUCUUGGCUUUUUAAUGUGUCUCGUUGCGCCAUGGAUGGGUGACGCGUCGCUCUCUGCGCCACCCAUCCGAUUUCUUUUUGACGGCAUCCAUGCUCCCUCCCACCCUCGCACAGAUACAUCAGCACGCACACGCACGCCACCAUGAGCUGCCUGUCGUUGAGCGAUACCGGCGCUCUUUGCGACUUUCUCUACCUGUCGCGUUGUGCACGUGCGCUUUCUCUCCUUAACUGCAGGCCGACAACUCCAGCAGCAGACGCGCACAGCACAGCACAGCACAGCACACACACACACAUACACACACACACACACACACACACACACACACACACACACGUGUGCGUAUGCGUGCAGGUGCAGUGCCAGGUGGAACGACGGCAGCUCUGCUGGCUUUCGCUGCCGCGUGUUCCUUGCAGUCUUCCUCUACGACUGCCAGCGGCCUUUCCGUAGCAUCUCCGCAUCCGACCUCCCUGC
Molecule: unclassified non-coding RNA, 5780 nt
Filed under: Leishmania donovani
Lineage: Eukaryota; Euglenozoa; Kinetoplastea; Trypanosomatida; Trypanosomatidae
Description: gene:LdHU3.17.1850(CDS-product:hypothetical_prote in_conserved)
Source: RNAcentral